This is a long non-coding RNA of Monomorium pharaonis (pharaoh ant), 354 nucleotides long. RefSeq lists it as uncharacterized. The record is from RefSeq and is a predicted model, not a curated record. The transcript has 2 exons. Lineage: Eukaryota; Metazoa; Arthropoda; Insecta; Hymenoptera; Formicidae.
GACGAAUUAUUUUGUAGCUCGGAUUUCUUCGUCAUGUAAUAUCUCCUGACGCAAAAAACAAUUUCACUCGUUCGUUUUCACAUGCGCGCUAUCGCUGACAAUUGCCUACUGACAGGUGGUGAAUUGCAGCAAAUGAAUGUCCUGCACCAGCACCAAUGAGAACGGCAACGGAAUUGGAUGGAACUGAAAGAAAUUCUGGCUGCAGUAUGUCCUCCGUUUUUCCAUUACCGCAAUUUCCAUGCUCGUUCCAGCCCCAACAUAACACUGCUCCAUCAUCUGUAAAAUUAUUAUUAUUAUUAUUAUUAUUAUUAUUAUUAUUAUUAUGUAUAUACUAAAAUACCUUUUUGAGCAAUA